AGGGGAAAGGAAGAGACAACACUGCAGAAGGGGAAAGAAGAGGAAAGGAAGAGACAACACAGAUGAGACGCAGCAGGAGAAAGAGAUGAUACAACAGGAAGAGAGGGAGAAAUCGAAAGUAAGACAUUUCAGCCAGUGCACUCAAAAGAAAGCUGCCCUGAUCACUGGUGAUCCGUGCUUUCCCACCACCUUUUGGAGUCAGGUCACCAUACACUGCACUCCAGCUUCUUUGUCCUGGAGGUGCACUGAGGCACUGGGCACCCUGCUGUCCUCAUGGUAGGCCAUGUUGAAGCUUUCCAAGAAGAGCCUUGGGGCAUCUUGUCAGCCCAGUCUCAGCCAUAUGACAUCUGUUGACGGGCGAACAGAAUACCAGGAAAGAGUAGGGCCAGCACAGAGCUGGUGACUGGCCAUACAGAGGGAGGAUGUUCUCUUGAACACACUCCUAUCCGCAGUGUGCACCCUUUGGCUUCUCCUCCAGGAGAAUUAGCUCCCAAGGGGACCCAAAAGCCUGCUCCAGGAAAAUUCUGCGUGCAAGAAAUAGGGAAGGCAUGUGUUGCUGGCCUUGAACCCAGUUCCUAUGGAAAAGCAGAUACAUGAAGCCAAAGCAUCUGAUCAAAGUCAUCAGAAAUAUCCUGCAAUCAUGGUAAGAACAAGCACCCCAACUGCGCAGUCUCGCGAUGGUGCUACCCGAGAAAUGCUUCCUGCUUGGGGAAACGUGGCAUCCUACAAUUACAUUCAGAAUAACUGCCGCCAGAGCCUGAGCGAGCCAUUGCCGCAUGUGAGCUCUCCCGUGUCUGUUAUUUGUCGUAGGAGUCUCUCAUCGCUGGAAGAUAGCUCUGAGAACAUGCACUGCAUCUUAAAACUGAAGCACAGUGCGUUAACUCCUGCGCAUGGCCAUGUCAGCACAGCUUGCUUCAGGACAUCAGCACAAAGGCCGGCAGGGACCGUGAUCCCUUCUGUACACACAGGAAACAUUACCACAGCACGGUAGAUGCUACCGUGUGGAAAGCCUUUCUUCAAUAUGAGCGGUGGUAGAAAUUAGCUUUGGCCUCAUGCUGUUCAUAACUGUGGUUUAUUUCAUUUCUAUGUUAUUGCUCUCAUAAACUAUUAAAAACAAAGCUCCCUGCCAGAAGUUAGGAAAUAAAGCAAAAACCAUCUCUCUCA
RNAcentral lists this long non-coding RNA (1164 nucleotides) under Struthio camelus australis. RNAcentral describes it as "lncRNA (ENSSCUG00000006584.1)". The record is from RNAcentral. Lineage: Eukaryota; Metazoa; Chordata; Aves; Struthioniformes; Struthionidae.